AUUGAACGCUGGCGGCAGGCCUUACACAUGCAAGUCGAACGGCUGCAGGGGGCUUGCCACUUGAUUCCGAGUCGCACGCGUGAGUAAUGUAUAUGAAUCUGCCUGCUAGAGGGGGAUAAAGCCCGGCAACAGGCGCUUUUAUAGCACACACGAUGUGGGAGAAAGAGGGGGAGCUUCGCACGUCACGCUCUCAGAUGUGCCUAGGUCGGAUUAGCUAGUUGGUGGGGUAAAGGCCUACCAAGGCGACGAUCCGUAACUGGUCUGAGAGGAUGAUCAGUCACACUGGAACUGAGACACGGCCCAGACUCCUACGGGAGGCAGCAGUGGGGAAUAUUGGACAAUGGGCGAAAGCCUGAUCCAGCAAUGCCGCGUGUGUGAAGAAGGUCUUCGGGUUGUAAAGCACUUUUGUUUGGAAAGAAAUGCUUUGAGUUAAUACCGUGCUGUUUUGACGGUACCAGCAGAAUAAGCACCGGCUAACUACGUG
This 484-nucleotide ribosomal RNA is filed under the name uncultured bacterium. RNAcentral describes it as "partial 16S ribosomal RNA". It matches the Rfam family "Bacterial small subunit ribosomal RNA", at positions 30 to 507 of the family's 1533-position model. The record is from RNAcentral.